This is a long non-coding RNA of Amphimedon queenslandica, 467 nucleotides long. RefSeq lists it as uncharacterized. The transcript is spliced from 4 exons. The record is from RefSeq and is a predicted model, not a curated record. NCBI's taxonomy places the organism in Eukaryota, Metazoa, Porifera, Demospongiae, Haplosclerida, Niphatidae.
AAUUCUAUUUUGCAGUGGCCUACUAACAAACCCAAGCUGUAUUGUCAUUAGUUACUGUGGUUCCUCUGAAGGUUAAUCCAUAGCUGCUCAUACACUACCAUCAUUUUAUCAGUUCCUACUUGUACAUGCAACAAGUUACUUGCUGCUAUAGGAUAUGCUGUAGACACACAACUGUCCAACAUGUUAAUUAUUACAAGUGCAUGGAAUGAGGAAUAAACUCACUGAGUUUACAAAGCUAUAGCCAGGGUCAGUACAAGUAGUAAAUUAUUCAUCCAAUGGAUCAAUGCUUGGAAAACUCUUUCUCUUCCCGGAUUUCAUGCUGCAAAACACAUUGGGGAGUAUUUGUUUGUCUAAAGUCGUUGUAACCUAUCUUUCCAACGAGCUAUAGUGUUCUAAAUUUAUCCUUUUGAACAAUAAUAUUUUAGAGAUUUUUAUGAUAAUAUAAAUAGAUAAUCGAGUCCUCCUCU